GUGCUCAUUUCAGCAGCACAUGUACAAAGAGUGGAACCACGCAGAGAAGAUUAACAUGGCCCCUGCGAAGGAUGACGUGCAAAUUUGUAAAGUGUUCCAUAUUUUU
This is a small nuclear RNA of Octodon degus (degu), 106 nucleotides long. NCBI's taxonomy places the organism in Eukaryota, Metazoa, Chordata, Mammalia, Rodentia, Octodontidae. The record is from Ensembl.